AGUGAACGCUGGCGGUAGGCCUAACACAUGCAAGUCGAACGGCAGCACAGUAAGAGCUUGCUCUUACGGGUGGCGAGUGGCGGACGGGUGAGGAAUACAUCGGAAUCUACUUUUUCGUGGGGGAUAACGUAGGGAAACUUACGCUAAUACCGCAUACGACCUACGGGUGAAAGCAGGGGAUCUUCGGACCUUGCGCGAUUGAAUGAGCCGAUUCCGGAUUAGCUAGUUGGCGGGGGAAAGGCCCACCAAGGCGACGAUCCGUAGCUGGUCUGAGAGGAUGAUCAGCCACACUGGAACUGAGACCGGGUCCAGACUCCUACGGGAGGCAGCAGUGGGGAAUAUUGGACAAUGGGCGCAAGCCUGAUCCAGCCAUACCGCGUGGGUGAAGAAGGCCUUCGGGUUGUAAAGCCCUUUUGUUGGGAAAGAAAAGCGGCAGGUUAAUACCCCGCUGUUCUGACGGUACCCAAAGAAUAAGCACCGGCUAACUUCGUG
Molecule: ribosomal RNA, 492 nt
Filed under: uncultured bacterium
Lineage: Bacteria
Description: partial 16S ribosomal RNA
Rfam family: Bacterial small subunit ribosomal RNA
Source: RNAcentral